This 2904-nucleotide long non-coding RNA is filed under the name Mus musculus (house mouse). RNAcentral's name for it is "long non-coding RNA chr4:84998214-85001118". Lineage: Eukaryota; Metazoa; Chordata; Mammalia; Rodentia; Muridae. The record is from RNAcentral.
GGUUAGCAUCUUCACAGGAAGCUUGAGGGAUACUGUUCAGUGGGAGAGUACUGGAUCUGUAUGCAUAAGGUUUGCGCUUCUAUUGACAACACUGCAAAUAGUAUUAGUAACAGUAGAACGAGUGUGUUUAUUUUACCAGGACUUUUGUAAGGCAUCACCCCAAAUGGGUGGCUUAGUACAAUAGAAAUGUAUUGUCAUGGGGUUUCAGACGAGGCCAGUCUAAUAGUAAGGUGUCAGCCAGACCAGACCCUCUGAUUGCUGAGUGUCAGUCCUAUCACUUCCUCCUCGUUUUUGUUGCUUAGCUAUCCCUUGCCUUAUAGGUGGCAUCCCCCAUGUCUUCACAUUGUCUUUUAUACAUGCCUUUCUCUCUGUCUGUAUUUUACCAUUCUAGAAGUAUAUUAGAUUAGGGCCCACACAAUGACCUCAUUUUUAUUUGAUUACCUUCAUAUAAAUCCUAUCUGAAAAAAGUCAUAUUCUGAUACAUCAGGAUUAGGAUACAACAUAGUUUUUUUUAUCUUUUAUUCUGGAGGAAUAAGUAGAAGAAGGUUGAUUUAUAAAACUGUCUGCAUUUUAAAAUAUUUUGUUCUGACUUCUUGGUUUUUAGGCUAUUACCUCUGUGUGUGUGUGUGUGUUGAAAUUUUGUUAUGGCCUUUGAGUGAUCAUAGCUUGGAAACAUAUAUUUACAUCUCCCCAAAUACAAUCCCCCAAUGAGGUAAUAAUUUCAUGGAGUUUCUAUAGUAGCAGAAGAGAGAAAGUUGUAAGUUAGAGCACUUUAAAAAAGUGAUAGGAACAGUGAUAGGAACAGUGUAUGGCCAAUUACAGCAGGCAAAGGAAUCUCAACUCCAGGUCUCAAAUGUUAUCUGAUUGUAUUCUUAGCCCUUUGGUAGAGAAUGGGUUUUGUUAAUACAUUCCAAAAAUUGUUUCCUGUUGAUCAGGAUAUUAUGUCAGACUCUGAGGUGGGUAAGGAGGCUUUUUGAGUGUUAACAUUAAUCCAAGGGAAAUUGUAAUUCAGAUAUCAGAUCAUCAACAACAAUAACAAAACAUCUGUAUUCAGUGAAGCAGUUGCAGUUUUUUUUUUUUUUUAUCAGUCUAUGAACCUAUGAAGACAGAUUCACACCAAGUCUGUCGGUGAUGGGCAUCAAGAAAGGAACCUGGAGCAGAAUCCAUGGAGGACAGCUAUCUGCUGGCUAGCUCACAGGCUCUUACAUAGCUAGCUUUCUUGUUGAAGUUCAAGACAAUCUGCCUAGGAGUGGCACAACCUACAGUGGCUGGACCUUCUUAUAUCAGUUAUGAAUCAAGAUAAUCCUCCACAAACUUGCCCCAGGCCUUAACUGUCCUAGGCAAGUCUUCAAUCAUGAUUUUCCUUUCACAUGUCUCUAAGCUGUGUCAAGUUGACAACUAAUGCUGACUAGGACAUAAAGUUUAUAUGUAUUUUUCAUAUAAUACAUAUGGAAUUUAUACAUUUUAAUAAAAUUAAGUAUCCGUAAUGCACUCUUUGGAGAUUCAUUAAGUUUUUGACUUACUGGUUAUUAUAGAUAGAAGAGAGAGAACGUGAAGUUGGAAGGGGGCAUGGAACAGGGAAUCUGGGAGAAGUUAGGGGAGGGAAGUAGAGGUGAAUAUGAUUGAAAUAUAUUGAAAACAUGUCUUGCAACGCUAAUGAGCAGAAAACCUCAGAUGGGCUGAGAAGCUCUGUCCAUGAAAGCUGAAUUGACUGACACCUAUGAAAGCUAGCGAUAAGAUCCAAGCUCUGUCAUAUACUGCAUUCAGACUGCAGGGGAACUGGCCCACAGAUGGAACCUGUUCCGCCCUGUUAGCCCCAACCCUACCUGUACCUCAUGUGUACCCUUUCCUCUCUGCAGAGAGAUUGGUGUCAUUCAUUGUUGUGAUAAUGGAUAAUAUGCUUCUGCUAAGAUGAGAUUAUUCUUUUUUAUUUAUAUUUCCAAGUCACCUUCUUCUGUAUCCAUCUAGCAUGCAUGAAAUUCUUAAAGAAACAUGAUCAGGUAUGGGGGAAGGAGGAGACAGGAGAGAAUCCCUGAUGGCCAGAAGAAUGAAUGGAAAUAUGCAACCUCAGGAGUGGGGCAUGGGGGUGGGAGGUGGGGGGACCCUCCGGAAUGUACCAGAGACUCAGGAGGUGAGAGACUCUCAGGACUCAAAGGGAGGGACCUUAGAUGAAAUGCUCAACCAUGGGGAGAGAGAGCUUGUAGAGUCUACUUCCAGUAGAAAGACAGCGCAUCAAGUGGAGGGAUAGGGUUGCCAUCCCACAAUCAAAAACUCUGGCCCAGAAUUGUUCCUGUCUAAAACAACUGCAGGGACAAAAAUGGAGAAGAGACUGAGGGAAAGGCAGUUCAGUGCCAGGCUCAAAUUGGGAUUGAUCUCAAGGAGAGGCUCCAAGGCCUGACACUAUUACUGAUGCUAUGGUGUGCUUACAGACAAGUGACUAACAUGGUUGAUCUCUGAGACACCCAACAAGCAGCUGAAAGAGUUAGAUGCAGAUACUUAUACUCAACUAUUGGACUGAAGUCAGGGACCCCGUGGUUGAAUUAGGGAAAGGCUUGAAGAAGCUGAGGAGGAGGAUGACCCCAUAGGAAGACCAGCAGUCUCAACUAACCGGUACCCCUGAAAUCUCUCGGACACUGAGCCACCAACUAGGCAGCAUACACUGGCUGUUCUGAGGUCCUGGCACAUAUACAGCAGAGGACUGCAGGGUCUGGCCUCAUUUGGAGAAGAGGCGCCUAACCCUUGAAAGACAUGAGGCCCCAGGAAGUUGGGAGACCUUCUUGGUUGGAGUAGAGGGACAUUUUCUUGAAGGGGGAAGAUGGGGAAUGAUCUGGGACGAGGAACAGUGAGAGGGUGGACCAGGAGGAAGGCAGUGACUGGCUGUAAAAAAAAAAAAAAGUAAAAAGU